CUGACCUCGAAGAGGAAGCCCGCUUGUAGGGGGCUCCGGUUGAACUGGAGCCGGGGGAGGCGGUGCUGCUGGGAUGCCCCUGGGUUGCAAACUUUGGACGGCGGUAGCCAACGCCUGCACUUGCUACACCAGGGUAUCAAAUUGUUCCGGUUGAACUCGAGAUGCUGGCUCAACCGGGGGUGGUGAGUUCCGAACAGAACAUUCUGGGCUUGGUGGAGGACGUCGAGAGGCGUUGGAAGCCCCUUUGCUUCUUAGCUUCAUGGUAGCGAACUCGGGCCCUUCCUCUAGCGCCAACUGUUGCUGGAAAUUGGACCCGGGGGCCGCCGCGAAGCCGGGGAAGGAGGAGCUCCGCUGCUACAGGAGGCGGACGGCGGUGCGCCGGCUUGCUGCGUCCUCCGCCGCGGGGGGUGUG
This 412-nucleotide long non-coding RNA is filed under the name Phoenix dactylifera (date palm). RNAcentral's name for it is "long non-coding RNA (PDAC_LNC019709)". The record is from RNAcentral. Lineage: Eukaryota; Viridiplantae; Streptophyta; Magnoliopsida; Arecales; Arecaceae.